ACACCGUCUCAAUUUCAAGAACACAUCACUAAACAACAAGAAUAAGAACAAAAACUAAACAAAUUCAAUCUAACAGAUGAAUUCAAGAGACAUACUUCAGAGAUGAAGUCUCAAUUUCAAAUCUAAACAAUAACAAGAACAAAAACUAAACAAAUGCAAUUGCUCUAAUAACAUGAAACUCAAGCAAUUGUUGGAUUCUCAGGUGCGGAUUUCCAAACAAUGUCCUUGAGUGCUGGCCUAAGCUCUUUGCUGCAGAAUUGAUUA
RNAcentral lists this unclassified non-coding RNA (264 nucleotides) under Hevea brasiliensis (rubber tree). Lineage: Eukaryota; Viridiplantae; Streptophyta; Magnoliopsida; Malpighiales; Euphorbiaceae. The record is from RNAcentral.